This 746-nucleotide ribosomal RNA is filed under the name uncultured Flavobacteriia bacterium. RNAcentral describes it as "bacterial SSU rRNA". It matches the Rfam family "Bacterial small subunit ribosomal RNA", at positions 60 to 795 of the family's 1533-position model. Lineage: Bacteria; Pseudomonadati; Bacteroidota; Flavobacteriia. The record is from RNAcentral.
AGUCGAGGGGUAACAGGGAUUGCUUGCAAUCCGCUGACGACCGGCGCACGGGUGCGUAACGCGUAUGCAACCUACCUUCUACAGGGGGAUAGUCAAUAGAAAUGUUGAAUAAUACCCCAUACGAUCAUUAAUCUGCAUGGAUUGAUGAAGAAAGUUCCGGCGGUAGAAGAUGGGCAUGCGUCCUAUUAGUUAGUUGGUAAGGUAACGGCUUACCAAGACAUCGAUAGGUAGGGGUCCUGAGAGGGAGAUCCCCCACACUGGUACUGAGACACGGACCAGACUCCUACGGGAGGCAGCAGUGAGGAAUAUUGGACAAUGGAGGCAACUCUGAUCCAGCCAUGCCGCGUGCAGGAAGACUGCCCUAUGGGUUGUAAACUGCUUUUAUACAGGAAGAAUAAGCCUUACGUGUAAGGUGAUGACGGUACUGUAAGAAUAAGGACCGGCUAACUCCGUGCCAGCAGCCGCGGUAAUACGGAGGGUCCAAGCGUUAUCCGGAAUUAUUGGGUUUAAAGGGUCCGUAGGUGGAUGAUUAAGUCAGGGGUGAAAGUUUGCAGCUCAACUGUAAAAUUGCCUUUGAUACUGGUUAUCUUGAAUUGUAUUGAAGUAGGCGGAAUAUGUAGUGUAGCGGUGAAAUGCAUAGAUAUUACAUAGAACACCAAUUGCGAAGGCAGCUUACUAAGUACUAAUUGACACUGAUGGACGAAAGCGUGGGUAGCGAACAGGAUUAGAUACCCUGGUAGAAGGGC